GGCACGGGUGAGAUGCGGUGGUUGUAGUGGCAGCGUGACUCUGAAGCAAUUAAUUUCGCUCCACCGAACCGUAGCCUGCUUCGUUUACGGACACUCUAGCACGCAUUUCAAUUGUGCGCACAAACUAAUUGACGCAUCAUGUGAUCGUGAGUACUGUUCCAUUAGUAAGUAUACUCUUGGUUUACCCCCGGCAUUGAUUAUUCGCUUAGUUAAUGUUUUUGCCGACCUUGCGUCGAUCAUUAGACUGUAACCUGAUGCUGAAUACUGAUCCGUGAGUUAGGAGAAUUGUGUUGAGGUGCGUGUUGAUCGGUUUUAUUUUAUGAGUACAGAGCUCGUGUUUUUCUUGAUUCUUGGCCAUGGCUUGCUGCAGUUUGUGGACAUCACUUGCACAUGUUUUCUUCCUUUUCUUUUCGUCUACGUUUUAUUAUUUAAUUUUUAAAUAUUCUAUAUAUUUUUUUGUAUUUAUACACACAUCAGUUUCCUUUUUCACGUGAUACAAAAGGUAUGAUCAUAAAAGUGAACAAUGGUGGCUGAAGGAAGUGCGGUCGAUGACAAAAUGGCUGAAUGGAGGACUUUUCGAUGACAUUGUUACCAGCGAUCGAGAUUACAAGCAUUUCAUGAGUUACGCGUGGAAAUAGUCCCGAUCCGAAAAUUACGCUGACGCAGAUAGUCCAUUUGAACAUUUGCAGUGGACAAAGUUUUGCUGUAGAGAAGGUGGGCUGCGUGGUGAAGUUGCAAUCGAUCUGGUGAAGGAAGUCGACAAUUUGGGCAACAUGACAGUUUGCUUUCCGAAUGCCGAAUCGUAGUACCACGUCAGUCAUCAGUGAAGCAGCGACAUAAGGCUAAACUCCAUCAGGCUGAAACAAUUCUGGUAUUCGAAGCAAUUCAAGCAGGCUUGGUGAACAAUUUUCCAAUUACAAGAAUCGUCAAUUUUACGAAUGUCGAUCGUUUGCGAUCCUAGAAAUUAGAGGAGGAGAAGUAGAUCUGUUGUAGCAGCUCCAAAUUUGAAUUUGUAACCAAAUAUAUGAGAAUCAGUUGGGAGGAUUCUCCCUGGCCUGUCAUUCCCGUUUCUGCGGAUCAAGUCUCCAAAGGGAAGACAUCAAUGAUUGCAAUCCUACUAAAUCCCGUCUCCAGGUAUCCAUCAUUUCGAAAGUUUAGUGAAAAGCCAAGGGCACAACUCAACUUUGCUACGUUCACGAGUUUGUUGUAUCUUCUGAUCCUGGUUGAGACACUCAACCUGAAUAUCACUAACUUUAUCGGCAGGGUUGCAUUCUUAACCAUCAUGCAGAUCGAUUGCAAUGAACUUCGGAACCAUGGAUAUUAACGUAAUACUAGCAUGAGGACCUCGUGAUUCUUCUUUC
Physcomitrium patens is the source of this 1361-nucleotide long non-coding RNA. RefSeq lists it as uncharacterized. The record is from RefSeq and is a predicted model, not a curated record. Lineage: Eukaryota; Viridiplantae; Streptophyta; Bryopsida; Funariales; Funariaceae.